GGAGUUUGGGCCGUGUCUCAGUCCCAAUGUGGCCGGUCACCCUCUCAGGUCGGCUAUGGAUCGUCGGUUUGGUGGGCCGUUACCUCACCAACUACCUAAUCCAACGCGGGCUCAUCCCAUACCACCGGAGUUUUUCACACAGAACCAUGCGGCUCCGUGCGCUUAUGCGGUAUUAGCAGUCGUUUCCAACUGUUGUCCCCCGGUAUGGGGCAGAUUGCCCACGCGUUACUCACCCGUCCGCCACUAAGUCAUAAGAUCUUCAUUCCGAAAAAAUCAGAUCAAAUGCUUCGUUCGACUUGCAUGUGUUAAGCACGCCGCCAGCGUUCAUC
RNAcentral lists this ribosomal RNA (329 nucleotides) under uncultured Ruminococcus sp. Its description in RNAcentral is "partial 16S ribosomal RNA". The record is from RNAcentral. Lineage: Bacteria; Bacillati; Bacillota; Clostridia; Eubacteriales; Oscillospiraceae.